RNAcentral lists this ribosomal RNA (815 nucleotides) under Trichophaea woolhopeia. RNAcentral's name for it is "eukaryotic LSU rRNA". It matches the Rfam family "Eukaryotic large subunit ribosomal RNA", at positions 66 to 885 of the family's 3401-position model. The record is from RNAcentral. Lineage: Eukaryota; Fungi; Ascomycota; Pezizomycetes; Pezizales; Pyronemataceae.
CAACAGGGAUUGCCUUAGUAACUGCGAGUGAAGCGGCAAAAGCUCAAAUUUGAAAUCUGGCAUCUUUUGGUGUCUGAGUUGUAAUUUAGAGGGGCAUUUUCAGGUUCAACACUAUUCUAAGUUCUUUGGAACAGGACAUCAUAGAGGGUGAGAAUCCCGUGCCUGGGUAGUUGUUUGAUCCUAUGUGAAGUGUCUCCGACGAGUCGAGUUGUUUGGGAAUGCAGCUCAAAAUGGGUGGUAAAUUUCAUCUAAAGCUAAAUAUUGGCGAGAGACCGAUAGCGCACAAGUAGAGUGAUCGAAAGAUGAAAAGCACUUUGAAAAGAGAGUUAAAAAGUACGUGAAAUUGUUGAAAGGGAAGCACUUGCGACCAGAAUCAAUCUUUAGGGGUCAUCCGAGUUUNGGCUUGGAGCCAUCCCUAUUGAUUGGGCUAGCAUCGGUUUUGGUGGUAGGAUAAAAGGUUGAGGGAAUGUGGCUCUCCUUGGAGAGUGUUAUAGCCCUUAUCAUAAUACUGCCUACUGGGACCGAGGAUCGCGCUUUUUAAUAAGCUAGGAUGCUGGCAUAAUGGUUUUAAGUGACCCGUCUUGAAACACGGACCAAGGAGUCUAACAUCUAUGCGAGUGUUUGGGUGGAAAACCCUUGCGCGUAAUGAAAGUAAAUGGAGGUGGGAACCUUUUAACAGAGGUGCACCAUCGACCAGUCCUAAUGUUUUUCGGAAGGAUCUGAGUAAGAGCAUAGCUGUUGGGACCCGAAAGAUGGUGAACUAUGCCUGAAUAGGGUGAAGCCAGAGGAAACUCUGGUGGAGGCUCGCAGCGGUU